Globicephala melas (long-finned pilot whale) is the source of this 2551-nucleotide long non-coding RNA. RefSeq lists it as uncharacterized. Lineage: Eukaryota; Metazoa; Chordata; Mammalia; Artiodactyla; Delphinidae. The record is from RefSeq and is a predicted model, not a curated record.
UCAGCCCGUUCCGAACCCACUGGGCGAUAUUUGCGGAGGGAGCUCCCUCUCUGUGCCAGGCACCGGGUCCGGAUCUGGGGAUUCCAGAUGCGUAAGGUACAGGCUCUUGUCCCCGAACAUCGCACAGCCUGGCGGGGGAGACACAAGGAAGCAGAGAGUGGCAGUGGCCCGUGGCGGGCGCUGAAUGCGCACAUAGGCAGGAGGGACACUGCCAGAGCAGCGUGCAGAGCCAGGCAAGCUGAGGCCUGAAGAAGAGCAGGAGGAGCCAGGAGCAGUAUAAGGGUGCUCCGAGCGGAGGCAGAGGUGUGCACAGGCCUGGAGGAAAGCAAUCCCAUGUCCCUGAUGACUACCAACAGCCACCUUGUAAUCAAGAAGAGGGAAUGUUCCUGAGGAUAAAGCCAACAUGAAGGAUGGAGAUGGAGGACCUGAAUCCUUGGGGAGCUCACUGAGCCCUGAUGCUACAAUGUCCAUGGACAUCCUUCUUCUGGACCUUCAGCUCUGUGAGAUGUGUCCCUAUUGGGAAGGCAGCUUCUGGGUACAAUGGCAUGAGGGGUUUGGGUUAAAGUAGCACUACGGCCUCAGUUUCCCCUUCAGAAAGAGAGAAUCCUAGUGAGCAAGGAUACACCCUCCUCUUACUAUUGAUCCCAACAUGGCUGUUGAUAUUUCUGACCCUUAAAGGCCCCCAGGAGCCAUAUCUCAGAAGGGACAGCAGCCGCUGCAAACUUCUGCCAUAAGUUUCUCUCCACCUGAGAAAAGUUUAUGGGGCUCAAAGUGGGUCUAACAGAAAGGCCAUGAGUCUAGGUAUUUAAAAGAACUUGAGGUUGAGUAUCACUGGGUAAGCCAAAAGUAGACCCACAGGCCCAAGCCACAGAAAAGCCAGCACGGCAGAAUCCCAGCCUGUUAUGCACAUCUGGAAGGGACUUGGGAAUUACCCCAUCCAGUUCCCUUCUGUAUCAGUCAGAAUAAGCACUGUUAUGCUACAGUAACAAACAACCCCCCAAAUCUUAGUAGCUUGAAGCCACAUCAUUUAUUUCUCACUCGUGUUUAAAUACCUAUUGCAGGUACUCAUUAUAGUCACUCAGGCACGCAGGCUGAAGGGAGCUCCAUAUCAGCCAGUACUCCCACAAUUGCCAAGGGAGAGAAAUGAGAACGUGGCAGAUCCCAAACUAACCAUCCCUUAAAGCUGCUCCUGGAAAAUCUCUUCCAUUCAUGUUUCCCUGGCCAGAACAAGUCACAUGGCCAUGCCUGUGUUCACCAGGGUUGGGACGUAGAAUCCUCCUGCAGGGAGGGUCGGUGAAGGGAGGGACACUGAAUAUGGGGGAACAGUACUACUGUCGCCCACACCUGGUUUGCAGUCUAUGUGGCCACCCUGAUUCCACCUGGGCUCCCAGAGGAACCUCUCUAUGAGAGCAGAUCUGACUCUUCCCAUUCCCAGCUCCUCUCCUUUUAUCCUCUACUUAUUCAUUUGUCCAUAAACAUUCACCAAGUACUGACCACUAUGCCAAAUGCUGGGUAUGAAAGUGUAUCCAAGACCCCUCUAUGAGUCCCUUAAGGGGCAGGACUACCUCUUGUUCAUACCUAAUGACUCCCAGCUCCAGCAGCCAGCCAAGUGCUUCACAGCUCAGGACCUCUGCCUAAAGCCCUGACAUCCUCCCUCCUCUCACUUGCAGCCUGGUUCCUCCCUGACUUCUGCAAGCUGUGCUGUGCCAUUCCUGGACACUCCACCAUCACAGCAGCUAUGCAAUGUAUUGUUAUUACACGGGCUUGUUCACUUGUCUAUCUGCCUCAGCAGACUGUGGGCUCCUCAAGGACUAUCGUGGGUAGCCCAUUGUGAAAAAUGGCAACAAUUUAAAUGUUCAACCAUAACGAACUGUUAAAUGUGUCAUGGCCAUUUAUGUUCUGGAAUAUUACAAAACCAUUAAAAAUAAUGGUGUAAUACUCUGAAUUAGUAAGUCUCCUUUAGAACUCCAACCUCAGAUAUAGCGGGGCAGCCUUAUCUGUGGCAAUAACCUGAGCGUCCACCGACAGGGUACUGGUGAGAUGCACUGGAGUCCAGAAUUGUAUCGAAUGCAGCUGUUAAAAAAGAAUGAGACUGUUCUGUGCAUGCUGCUAUGGGACUAUCUCCAAGACACACUUGAAAGGGAAAAAAGUAAGGUGCAAAGCAGAGUGAAUAGUGUGCUAACAUUGUUAAACAAAACAGAUGCAUGGAAAAAAUGUACAUAGGAUGUCUCUGGACAGAUACAAAAGAAACUGGUAUCAGUGGUUGCCUCUGGAGUGGGGAACCAGCUAGGAAACUUACCUUUUCUGUCUACCCUUUGUACAGAUGGCAUAUUUUACAAUGUGCUUUAAAAAAAAAAAGUCAGGAAGUAAACGUAACAUUCUGGUAAAGCAUUCAAGAUAUCUUGUUAUCUUGAAGUGAUAAAUUUAGAUUUCAAAAUUGUAGAUACACUAUGACCACUAUUUUUCUAGAGAAAAAUGUACACUGCAUCUCAAUGUAUAGAAGUGUUGCAUUGUGUGCUAUUUUAAUAAAUUUAUUUAUUUAUUUAUUUUU